GGCAGAGUAGGUAUAUGUGCGUUAAGUGCUGGUAGAACGGGAAGUUGUCUACUUGACGAAAAAUGGAGUUUCCAUUUGCGGUACAUAUAUUGCAUUCCGCUGCC
Molecule: non-coding RNA, 104 nt
Filed under: Clostridium homopropionicum
Lineage: Bacteria; Bacillati; Bacillota; Clostridia; Eubacteriales; Clostridiaceae
Also listed under: 1 other name
Description: THF-I sequence
Rfam family: THF (Tetrahydrofolate) riboswitch aptamer
About the family: THF riboswitch presents a pseudoknot that joins P1-P2 and the loop of P3 and two THF binding.
Source: RNAcentral